This 406-nucleotide ribosomal RNA is filed under the name Eobania vermiculata. RNAcentral's name for it is "Massylaea vermiculata partial 16S ribosomal RNA". It matches the Rfam family "Archaeal large subunit ribosomal RNA", at positions 1973 to 2688 of the family's 2987-position model. The record is from RNAcentral. Lineage: Eukaryota; Metazoa; Mollusca; Gastropoda; Stylommatophora; Helicidae.
UAUAGCGUUUCUGCUCAUGGAACUCUAAAUAGCCGCAGUACUCUGACUGUGCAAAGGUAGCAUAAUCAAUUGGCCUCUAAUUAAGGUCUGGAAUGAACGAACUUAUGGGUAGCAACUGUCUUAAAAUAGUUUAUUAAAUUGAUCAAUAAGUGCAAAGACUUAUUCAAUUAUAUUAGACGAGAAGACCCUAGAAACUUGUAAUUAUUUUGUUGGGGCGACAGAAUUACAUAAAACUAAUUUUAGUUUACGGGACGUAAAACAGAAAGAAAAAGUUACUCUAGGGAUAACAGCAUAAUUUUAAAUAGCUUGUGACCUCGAUGUUGGACUAGGUAGAUGGCUUUUUAGAAGAAAGCUUUCUUGGCUCUGUUCGAGCAAUUUUAACCUACAUGAUCUGAGUUCAAACCCC